AUUGAACGCUGGCGGCAUGCCUUACACAUGCAAGUCGAACGGUAACGGGCCUUCGGGUGCCGACGAGUGGCGAACGGGUGAGUAAUGCAUCGGAACGUACCUUUCAGUGGGGGAUAACGUAGCGAAAGUUGCGCUAAUACCGCAUAUUCUGUGAGCAGGAAAGCAGGGGAUCGCAAGACCUUGCGCUGAUUGAGCGGCCGAUGUCAGAUUAGCUAGUUGGUGAGGUAAAGGCUCACCAAGGCGACGAUCUGUAGCGGGUCUGAGAGGAUGAUCCGCCACACUGGAACUGAGACACGGUCCAGACUCCUACGGGAGGCAGCAGUGGGGAAUUUUGGACAAUGGGGGCAACCCUGAUCCAGCCAUGCCGCGUGAGUGAAGAAGGCC
This 384-nucleotide ribosomal RNA is filed under the name uncultured bacterium. RNAcentral's name for it is "bacterial SSU rRNA". It matches the Rfam family "Bacterial small subunit ribosomal RNA", at positions 30 to 416 of the family's 1533-position model. The record is from RNAcentral.